Long non-coding RNA from Helianthus annuus (common sunflower), 1199 nucleotides. RefSeq lists it as uncharacterized. Lineage: Eukaryota; Viridiplantae; Streptophyta; Magnoliopsida; Asterales; Asteraceae. The transcript has 6 exons. The record is from RefSeq and is a predicted model, not a curated record.
CAUUCUUUUACUUGACUACUUCACACCGAAACCCUAGCCUCCCUUCCCUCUUUCUUCUAGAGCAAUCAUCGUCAUCUUCACCACUUAUUAAGGAUCAAUUAGAUGUUGAUCAAUCAGUACAGAAAUGAAUACAAAUAUAUACAAAUAUAUGUGAUUCGAAUAAAGGAAGAUGGUGACGUUGGUUGUGGCCUGAAGAGAAACGACGACGAAGAAUGGUUGAUUUAGGGUUCUUCAGUUCGGGUAAUGUGAUGGUUGAUUUAGGGAUUCUGAAACCGUAAGUUUUCUUCUCCCGUUUUACACUGAUUUCUUCAUCUGGCGAACUUCCAGGUUUUUGAUGUGGAUUUUUAUACUUUUUAUUCUUUUCACCAUCUCAUUUUUUUUUUCUAAAACUGUGAUUGUUUAAUCAACUACAAGGAAGAUGGUGAUGGUGGCCUGGAAAGGAACGAUGACAACGGCAUGUGUUGAUUUAGUGUUUCUCAAGUGGUGGUCUUAUGAUGGUUGUUGUUUAACGCAAAGACGGAAGGGCGGCGGCUAGGGUUCCACCACAUAACUUUGACCAGUUGUGGUUUCCGCCGGUUAUCGGUAGAUCAACCAGGAAUGAUAUUGUACGAGUUAUGCGAUUUGUUUGGAAUGUACAUGAUAGAUGAAACAAGUUAUGGACCAAAUCAUGUUGCUCUUGCUGGCCAAAAGAGUUCCAGUAACAAAGACCAAUCUUUGUACGCGUUGGUCGGGGUGACCAGAACCACUUAUGAGUUAUUUUCAAUAACUGGUUGUGGUAUUGAUAUCGGUAUUUAAAGAAAACUUUGACUGAGGAAUGUAUGCUUGCCUAAUUUGGUUGUUUGGAAGAGGGGAGAGUGAGUUUUCUGUUGGUAUAAGGCUAGCCUUGGUUCAACAGGAUUAAGACAGUUUGACUUAUAAGAAGUUAACCCAAAGUAGAAGUUGAAGAAUAUCAUGUUGGGGCAUCAUGAGGCAAAGGUAAAGUAUUAAUAUUAAAGCUCCAACAUAAUGAUGAUGCUGCUGCUCAAGUCUAUGGUCGAACUACAUAACCUGUGGAAAAGCAUAUGAAUAACUCUAUAAGUGUGUUUGUAUCUCACAACUUAAAUUAUCAUUUUCUCUAUAAUAUUUAUCUUCAUCUUACUGUAUAAAUGACAUUGUUAAUAAUAAACUUGGAAUAAAACGCUUAUGACACUGUUUUAAUA